ACGAACGCUGGCGGCGUGCCUAAUACAUGCAAGUCGAACGGUCUUUUCUAUGGAAGCUUGCUUCCACUGAGAAGAUAGUGGCGAACGGGUGAGUAACACGUGGGUAACCUGCCCAUAAGAGGGGGAUAACAUCCGGAAACGGGUGCUAAUACCGCAUAGUUUUCUUGAUCGCAUGAUCGGGAAAGGAAAGACGGCCUUUGUGCUGUCGCUUAUGGAUGGACCCGCGGCGUAUUAGUUAGUUGGUGAGGUAACGGCUCACCAAGACGAUGAUACGUAGCCGACCUGAGAGGGUGAUCGGCCACAUUGGGACUGAGACACGGCCCAAACUCCUACGGGAGGCAGCAGUAGGGAAUCUUCCGCAAUGGACGAAAGUCUGACGGAGCAACGCCGCGUGAGUGAAGAAGGUUUUUCCGGAUCGUAAAACUCUGUUGUCAGAGAAGAACAAGUUGGAGAGUAACUGCUCCAGCCUUGACGGUAUCUGACCAGAAAGCCACGGCUAACUACGUGCCAGCAGCUGC
RNAcentral lists this ribosomal RNA (518 nucleotides) under uncultured bacterium. Its description in RNAcentral is "bacterial SSU rRNA". It matches the Rfam family "Bacterial small subunit ribosomal RNA", at positions 29 to 518 of the family's 1533-position model. The record is from RNAcentral.